This 274-nucleotide ribosomal RNA is filed under the name uncultured bacterium. RNAcentral's name for it is "partial 16S ribosomal RNA". It matches the Rfam family "Bacterial small subunit ribosomal RNA", at positions 523 to 796 of the family's 1533-position model. The record is from RNAcentral.
AUACGGAGGGUGCAAGCGUUGUUCGGAAUUACUGGGCGUAAAGCGCGCGUAGGUGGUCUGUUAUGUCAGAUGUGAAAGUCCACGGCUCAACCGUGGAAGUGCAUUUGAAACUGGCAGACUUGAGUACUGGAGGGGGUAGUGGAAUUCCCGGUGUAGAGGUGAAAUUCGUAGAUAUCCGGAGGAAUACCGGUGGCGAAGGCGACUACCUGGCCAGAUACUGACACUGAGGUGCGAAAGCGUGGGGAGCGAACAGGAUUAGAAACCCGGGUAGUCC